This 460-nucleotide ribosomal RNA is filed under the name uncultured bacterium. RNAcentral's name for it is "partial 16S ribosomal RNA". It matches the Rfam family "Bacterial small subunit ribosomal RNA", at positions 338 to 795 of the family's 1533-position model. The record is from RNAcentral.
CCUACGGGGGGCAGCAGUGAGGAAUAUUGGUCAAUGGGCGGAAGCCUGAACCAGCCAAGUCGCGUGAGGGAAUAAGGCCCUACGGGUCGUAAACCUCUUUUGCCGGGGAGCAAGGGCGGGGACGUGUCCCGGCCCGGAGAGUACCCGGAGAAAAAGCAUCGGCUAACUCCGUGCCAGCAGCCGCGGUAAUACGGAGGAUGCGAGCGUUAUCCGGAUUUAUUGGGUUUAAAGUGGUCGUAGGCGGGCUUUUACGUCAGCGGUAAAAAUUCGGGGCUCAACCCCGUCCGGCCGUUGAAACUGGGGGCCUUGAGUGGGCGAGAAGAAGGCGGAAUGCGUGGUGUAGCGGUGUAAUGCUUAGAUAUCACGAAGAACUCCGAUUGCGAAGGCAGCUCACUGGACUGCAACUGACACUGAGGCUCGAAAGUGUGGGUAUCAAACAGGAUGAGAUACCCGAGUAGUC